RNAcentral lists this ribosomal RNA (1167 nucleotides) under Pseudomonas luteola. RNAcentral's name for it is "partial 23S ribosomal RNA". It matches the Rfam family "Bacterial large subunit ribosomal RNA", at positions 1 to 1210 of the family's 2925-position model. Lineage: Bacteria; Pseudomonadati; Pseudomonadota; Gammaproteobacteria; Pseudomonadales; Pseudomonadaceae. The record is from RNAcentral.
GUUAUAUGGUCAAGUGAAUAAGCGCAUACGGUGGAUGCCUUGGCAGUCAGAGGCGAUGAAAGACGUGAUAGCCUGCGAUAAGCUUCGGGGAGUCGGCAAAUAGACUGUGAUCCGGAGAUCUCUGAAUGGGGGAACCCACCUGACAUAAGUCAGGUAUCUCACACUGAAUCCAUAGGUGUGAGAGGCGAACCAGGGGAACUGAAACAUCUAAGUACCCUGAGGAAAAGAAAUCAACCGAGAUUCCCUAAGUAGUGGCGAGCGAACGGGGACUAGCCCUUAAGCUCAAUUGAUUUUAACCGAACGCUCUGGAAAGUGCGGCCAUAGUGGGUGAUAGCCCCGUAGGUGAAAGGAUCUUUUGAGUGAAAUCGAGUAGGACGGCGCACGUGAAACGUUGUCUGAAUAUGGGGGGACCAUCCUCCAAGGCUAAAUACUACUGACUGACCGAUAGUGAACCAGUACCGUGAGGGAAAGGCGAAAAGAACCCCGGAGAGGGGAGUGAAAUAGAACCUGAAACCGUAUGCGUACAAGCAGUGGGAGCCUACUUUGUUGGGUGACUGCGUACCUUUUGUAUAAUGGGUCAGCGACUUAUAUUCAGUGGCAAGCUUAACCGUAUAGGGAAGGCGUAGCGAAAGCGAGUCUUAAUAGGGCGUUUUAGUCGCUGGGUAUAGACCCGAAACCGGGCGAUCUAUCCAUGAGCAGGUUGAAGGUUAGGUAACACUGACUGGAGGACCGAACCCACUUCCGUUGAAAAGGCAGGGGAUGACUUGUGGAUCGGAGUGAAAGGCUAAUCAAGCUCGGAGAUAGCUGGUUCUCCUCGAAAGCUAUUUAGGUAGCGCCUCAUGUAUCACUCUGGGGGGUAGAGCACUGUUUCGGCUAGGGGGUCAUCCCGACUUACCAAACCGAUGCAAACUCCGAAUACCCAGAAGUGCAAGCAUGGGAGACACACGGCGGGUGCUAACGUCCGUCGUGAAAAGGGAAACAACCCAGACCGUCAGCUAAGGUCCCAAAGUUGUAGUUAAGUGGUAAACGAUGUGGGAAGGCUUAGACAGCUAGGAGGUUGGCUUAGAAGCAGCCACCCUUUAAAGAAAGCGUAAUAGCUCACUAGUCGAGUCGGCCUGCGCGGAAGAUGUAACGGGGCUCAAACUACACACCGAAGCUACGGGUUCA